Molecule: ribosomal RNA, 468 nt
Filed under: uncultured bacterium
Lineage: Bacteria
Description: partial 16S ribosomal RNA
Rfam family: Bacterial small subunit ribosomal RNA
Source: RNAcentral
GACGAACGCUGGCGGCGUGCUUAACACAUGCAAGUCGAACGGAAAGGCCCUGCUUUUGUGGGGUGCUCGAGUGGCGAACGGGUGAGUAACACGUGAGUAACCUGCCCUUGACUUUGGGAUAACUUCAGGAAACUGGGGCUAAUACCGGAUAGGAGCUCCUGCUGCAUGUGGGGGGUUGGAAAGUUUCGGCGGUUGGGGAUGGACUCGCGGCUUAUCAGCUUGUUGGUGGGGUAGUGGCAUACGAAGGCUUUGACGGGUAGCCGGCAUGAGAGGGUGACCGGCCACCUUGGGACUGAGGUACGGACCAGACUCCUACGGGACGCAGCAGUGGGGAAUAUUGCACAAUGGGCGGAAGCGUGAUGCAGCAACGCCGCGUGCGGGAUGACGGCCUUUGGGUUGUAAACAGCUUUCGCCUGUGACGAAGCGUGAGUGACGGUAAUGGGUAAAGAAGCAACGGCUAACUACGUG